AUUGAACGCUGGCGGCAUGCCUUACACAUGCAAGUCGAACGGCAGCACGGGGGCAACCCUGGUGGCGAGUGGCGAACGGGCGAGUAAUACAUCGGAACGUGCCCAGUAGUGGGGGAUAGCCCGGCGAAAGCCGGAUUAAUACCGCAUACGACCUACGGGUGAAAGCGGGGGAUCGCAAGACCUCGCGCUAUCGGAGCAGCCGAUGUCAGAUUAGGUUGUUGGUGGGGUAAAAGCCUACCAAGCCGACGAUCUGUAGCUGGUCUGAGAGGACGACCAGCCACACUGGGACUGAGACACGGCCCAGACUCCUACGGGAGGCAGCAGUGGGGAAUUUUGGACAAUGGGCGCAAGCCUGAUCCAGCCAUGCCGCGUGCGGGAAGAAGGCCUGGUU
RNAcentral lists this ribosomal RNA (391 nucleotides) under uncultured bacterium. RNAcentral's name for it is "bacterial SSU rRNA". It matches the Rfam family "Bacterial small subunit ribosomal RNA", at positions 29 to 424 of the family's 1533-position model. The record is from RNAcentral.